UACGGAGGAUGCGAGCGUUAUCCGGAUUUAUUGGGUUUAAAGGGUGCGUAGGCGGAUUGAUAAGUUAGAGGUGAAAUGUCCGAGCCCAACUCGGGAACUGCCUCUAAUACUGUUGAUCUAGAGAGUAGAUGCGGUAGGCGGAAUGUAUGGUGUAGCGGUGAAAUGCUUAGAGAUCAUACAGAACACCGAUUGCGAAGGCAGCUUACCAAUCUAUAUCUGACGUUGAGGCACGAAAGCGUGGGGAGCAAACAGG
This 253-nucleotide ribosomal RNA is filed under the name uncultured bacterium. Its description in RNAcentral is "partial 16S ribosomal RNA". It matches the Rfam family "Bacterial small subunit ribosomal RNA", at positions 524 to 776 of the family's 1533-position model. The record is from RNAcentral.